AACGAACGCUGGCGGCAGGCUUAACACAUGCAAGUCGAACGGGCGUAGCAAUACGUCAGUGGCGGACGGGUGAGUAACACGUGGGAAUAUGCCUUUCGGUUCGGAACAACUCGGGGAAACCCGGUGCUAAUUCCGGAUACGCCCUUACGGGGAAAGGAUUUAUCGCCGAAGAUUAGCCCGCGUUGGAUUAGCUAGUUGGUGAGGUAAAGGACUCACCAAGGCGACGAUCCAUAGCUGGUUUGAGAGAACGACCAGCCACACU
Molecule: ribosomal RNA, 262 nt
Filed under: uncultured bacterium
Lineage: Bacteria
Description: partial 16S ribosomal RNA
Rfam family: Bacterial small subunit ribosomal RNA
Source: RNAcentral